CGAACGCUGGCGGCAGGCCUAACACAUGCAAGUCGAGCGCGCCCUUCGGGGUGAGCGGCGGACGGGUUAGUAACGCGUGGGAAUGUACCCUUCUCUANGGAAUAGCCUNUGGAAACGNAUAGUAAUACCUUAUACGCCCUUNGGGGGAAAGAUUUAUCGNAUAGGGAUCAGCCCGCGUUAGAUUAGAUAGUUGGUGGGGUAACGGCCUACCAAGUCUACGAUCUAUAGCUGGUUUUAGAGGAUGAUCAGCAACACUGGGACUGAGACACGGCCCAGACUCCUACGGGAGGCAGCAGUGGGGAAUCUUGGACAAUGGGCGCAAGCCUGAUCCAGCCAUGCCGCGUGAGUGAUGAAGGCCUUAGGGUCGUAAAGCUCUUUCNCCAGGGAUGAUAAUGACANUACCUGGUAAAGAAACCCCGGCUAACUNCGUGCCAGCAGCCGCGGUAAUACGNAGGGGGUUAGCGUUGUUCGGAAUUACUGGGCGUAAAGCGCNCGUAGGCGGNUUGUUAAGUUAGAGGUGAAAUCCCGGGGCUCAACCNCGGAACUGCCUUUNAUACUGGCAANCUAGAGUUCGAGAGAGGUGAGUGGAAUUCCGAGUGUAGAGGUGAAAUUCGUAGAUAUUCGGAGGAACACCAGUGGCGAAGGCGGCUCACUGGCUCGAUACUGACGCUGAGGUGCGAAAGUGUGGGGAGCAAACAGGAUUAGAUACCCUGGUAGUCCACACCGU
This 727-nucleotide ribosomal RNA is filed under the name bacterium S1cc83. RNAcentral describes it as "bacterial SSU rRNA". It matches the Rfam family "Bacterial small subunit ribosomal RNA", at positions 30 to 803 of the family's 1533-position model. The record is from RNAcentral.